Teleopsis dalmanni is the source of this 4678-nucleotide RNA transcript. It is a transcript of the gene named calcium-transporting ATPase type 2C member 1, with no coding region annotated. Lineage: Eukaryota; Metazoa; Arthropoda; Insecta; Diptera; Diopsidae. The transcript has 5 exons. The record is from RefSeq and is a predicted model, not a curated record.
GUUUUGAAGACUUUGUGGAGAACGGUUGGGCGUCGGAAAAACACAAGUGACAACAUCAUGACAUCCUAGUUAAUUAAAAUUCUAGUAAGAAUUUUACACAAAGUGCAUAGGAAAUUAUAUUUUAUACAAAAUACUUUUGCAAUUAACUGUUUAAAAAAUCAAUUAAUCAAAACAUUGCAUGGAAAGCAGUGAAGUGUAUAAAUUACGAGAAUUUUGUUUUGAUGCAGUAUUCGCAUUUCGUCACAACAAGAACAGUUGCAUUUUCGAAAAUUGUUUGUUUGAAUCUGCAAUUGCAAGAAUAAAGUGAAAGUGCAUCUUUGUGAAAGGUAUUUGUGUGCAUUUAAUCGUUCAAGUGGAUUUGCAGUCAACCGAAAAUCUUAGCGUAGUUUUUCUGUUAAGUGUGUUUCGCCUACCCUGGGUGGGAAGAUCAAACGGCAGAAACACAUCAGCCGAGCUGCCGGUAUGCGACGUUUCCACGUCCUUGGCUGGCGAAAACAAUGCGCAUUUAUGGCACAUGAGCGGCAAUGCGCUAAUUUCUUCUGAAUUAUCGAAAAUUCGAAAAAAAUCAUAAGCUCCGUUGCCGUUAAAUCAAGAAAACACUCGCUUUGAAAAUAUUAAACAAUUAAACAAUAAAAUUGUGAAAUAAAAUACCUGUUGUUGGUUUGUGCGACGGCGGGUACAAAAGAAUGUUUUCGCACUUCGCGCAAUGAAAAUGUGAAAAAGAAACAAAGCGAAAAAUCGAUUGCUCCCAUUUUAAUUUCAUGUGCUUUUGUUGUUUUUGUUGAAUUUGUUGACACAUUUUAACACUCGGCCGCACUGCCCUCGCAGCGACUGUAAUCAACAGUGCAGCUUGCAUUGCUGAACAUUAAUUGAAAGCCCUGCACGGCCGAAAGCAAAGAACUCAAAUUAAUAGUGCCAAUCCGACUGGACACAGUGCCAUUUGAUAUGUCUCACGUAUGAGUCAUCGCGUAGACAAAACGAACCCUAACCACCUUAGAAAAAUUCAGUGCGGAAUUAUUAAAUUUUGAUGAGAAAGAAAAUGAAAAAUCACAAAAAGUAUGCAAAAUUGCCCCAAGAUUUGGAUUUGAGUUUUCAAGAGAAUUUGGACAUUGACAGUGCUGCGGAUGAGUUAAAUUUAGGUUCCGGUUCAGGUUUGGAUGAAGACGAUAUAAUUGAGGACGACGAGGAGGACGAGAUUGUCAUAGCAACAGCUCAGCGUUCUGUUGGUGGCGGCUGUGGAAAGGGUGUACGUAUGACCACGUCAGCUAACAUUUCCGAUCAGCAGAAACAAUUUAAGGGGAAGAAUUCAACGUCUGGUAUUAGUACUUCUGGUUUGGGAAACGAUACUUUAAUUGAGACGGGUUCAACAUUAACGCCCGAGAUGUUGCUCACAACCUCUGAGUCAUCUACCUACAGUGCCUCUGAGGUGGCGGGCCGCUUGCAGGUUGAUGUGCGAACUGGCUUAAAAUGGACGGAAUCAAAAUAUCGCGCCAAAAUAAUUGGUCACAAUGAAUUGAAUGUUAUUGAGGAAGAGCCAACAUGGAAAAAAUAUAUCGAACAGUUUAGAAAUCCUCUAAUUUUGUUACUAUUGGGUUCAGCCUUAGUUUCGGUAGUAAUGAAACAGUUUGAUGAUGCAGUGAGCAUAACGAUAGCCAUAAUAAUUGUGGUAACUGUAGCUUUCAUACAGGAAUAUCGGUCAGAGAAAAGUCUAGAGGAGUUAAAAAAAUUAGUGCCACCCGAAUGUCACUGCUUGAGAGAAGGUGUUUUAGAGACAUUCUUGGCACGAGAAUUAGUUCCAGGCGAUGUUGUGUAUUUAAAUGUUGGUGAUCGAGUGCCGGCCGAUGUGCGACUAUUUGAGGCCAUAGAUCUAUCAAUAGAUGAAUCAAGUUUUACCGGUGAAACAGAACCCGCCCGCAAGUGCGCUGAUAUGCUUUUAAACAACACCGGUAACAAAGAUCAUACCAAUAUGAAAAAUAUAGCUUUCAUGGGCACUUUGGUGCGGUGUGGAAAUGGUAAAGGUGUUGUGGUGAGCACAGGUGAACGUAGCGAAUUUGGUGAAGUGUUUAAAAUGAUGCAAGCUGAGGAAGCACCAAAAACACCUUUACAAAAAUCAAUGGACAUACUCGGCGCACAGUUGAGCUUCUACUCAUUCAUCAUCAUUGGUGUUAUCAUGCUGCUUGGUUGGUUACAAGGAAAACCUUUAACAGAAAUGUUUAAUAUAAGCGUUUCUCUAGCUGUGGCUGCCAUACCGGAAGGAUUGCCAAUUGUGGUUACAGUCACGCUGGCGCUGGGUGUGAUGCGUAUGGCUAAACGUAAUGCAAUUGUUAAAAAAUUACCAACUGUUGAAACGCUUGGAUGCGUUAAUGUUAUUUGCUCAGACAAAACAGGUACACUUACCAAGAACGAGAUGACGGCUACUGUCAUCAUCACUUCUGAUGGUUAUAUGGCAGACGUAACUGGUGCUGGGUAUAAUGAUCAAGGCGAAAUUCAUAUUAGAAACUGCAACAAUGUGGAAAUGGCAAAAAGUAACAUAACAAAUUUAUUGGAAAUAGGAGCAGUGUGCAACAAUGCAUACAUACAGAAUGGCACAUUACUUGGCCAGCCAACGGAAGGUGCACUCAUAGCUGUAGCCAUGAAGAAUGGCAUGUAUGCAACUGCUGAAAACUAUGUACGCAUACAGGAGUAUCCGUUUUCAUCCGAGCAAAAGAUGAUGGCUGUUAAAUGCAUACAUAAAUACAAUAAUAACAAGGAGGAAAUAUUUUUUGCUAAGGGUGCUUUGGAAAUGUUGUUGCCACAAUGCACAAAAUAUUUAUUUGGCACGCAAACUGUGCCUUUAACCAAGCAAAAUGAGGCUGAGUUCUUAUCUGAGGCUUACGAAAUAGGCCGUAAAGGUUUACGGGUUUUAGCACUUGCCAAAGGAAAAUCACUACAGGACUUAAUAUAUUGUGGCUUGGUUGGUAUAACUGAUCCACCAAGACCUUUGGUGCGAGAAUCUAUUGAAAUGUUGAUGCAGAGCGGAGUACGUGUCAAAAUGGUGACUGGUGAUGCUCAAGAAACCGCAAUGGCCAUUGCUAAUCUCAUUGGAAUCGAUACGAUUCACCAUCAGACACUCUCUGGACAGGAGAUGGAUCAAAUGAAUGAGCAUCAACUUGACAAAGUGGCCAACAAUGUCAGUGUUUUCUAUCGAGUUACGCCACGCCACAAACUUGACAUUGUAAAAUCCCUACAACGCACCGGAAAUAUUGUGGGCAUGACAGGUGAUGGCGUAAACGAUGGAGUAGCGUUAAAAAAAGCAGACAUAGGAAUAGCAAUGGGUAAAAAUGGUACUGACGUUUGCAAAGAAGCAGCAGAUAUGAUUUUGGUCAACGACGAUUUUCACACAAUCAUUGCGGCUAUAGAGGAGGGCAAGGCUAUAUUCUACAAUAUACGCAAUUUUGUGCGCUUUCAACUUAGUACUUCAAUUGCGGCACUCUCACUAAUUGCACUUGCCACACUUAUGGGCAUUGCAAAUCCUUUAAAUGCUAUGCAAAUUCUAUGGAUUAAUAUUAUAAUGGACGGACCGCCAGCACAGUCGCUUGGUGUUGAACCUGUGGAUCAUGAUGUAUUGAAACAAAAACCGCGCAACGUUAAACAGCCAAUGAUAACAAAAUCGGUUAUAGUUAAUGUUUUGCUCAGUGCUAGCAUUAUAAUACUUGGCACACUAUGGGUGUUCCAACGAGAAAUGGCUGAUGGCACACUUGGCAAAACCAAACGUGAUACUACCAUGACAUUCACCUGCUUCGUUUUCUUUGAUAUGUUUAAUGCUCUGUCAUGCCGUUCCCAGACAAAGAGCGUUUUUAAAAUUGGUCUCACCUCGAAUAAAAUGUUCCUCAUGGCGGUUGGGUUUUCAAUUAUUGGACAAAUGCUUGUGAUUUAUUUUCCACCUCUUCAAAUGGUAUUCCAGACGGAAGCACUCUCUGUAUACGAUAUACUCUUCUUGCUCUCGCUAACUUCCUCGGUACUCAUUGUUGCAGAAAUUAAGAAAUGGUUUGAACGCACCAUGGAGCGUAAAUUAUACAAAACAAGAUCUGAGUUGGAUUUCGUAUGACAAAUCGCAAGCGCUGGAAGAAAGUUGAAUAAAAAAUCCGAUUAAGCUUAUUAAAAUAGCAACUAUUAAGGAGCUGAAGCGAGAGCAGACAGUACAGAAAAAAGAGUGAGAAACGUAUUAUUGAGAGUUAUUUUUACUUUUUUUUAAAUACGCAUUAAAAUCGUUAAGUUAGCUAGAGAAAAUGAUAUUAUAUAAGUAACGAGCUGGGAAGGAACGAUUGUGAACGAGCAGGGGGAAAAUAAGAAUUAUAUUUUAUAUGUCUUCACCCUUUUUGAGAAUAAAUCUCACUUGAAAUUAACGUGACCUAAUUUAGUAAAUUAGUGGUUUAUGGCAAUAUUGGCAAGGAGUAGAAUGCAGUGUAAAAAAAGAAAAAUGCGAUAAAUAUAUAUAAAAACAAAUUAAUAACUAAAAAAGUAAGAAACAAAUAAAAAAGACGUUUUGUAAAACAGAAAUUAGAUGCAAUGCCGAAGCGAACAGUAUCCUGAAUAAUCAAAAUUUUUGGAAAAAUCAACAGAAAAUUCUUCUAGCGCAAAUUUGGACUUUGAUAUAUUUUGUAUUAUUUUGUCAGAAAUACCAAAAAUAAAGUGCAUG